GUCUUCGUGAUGUAGUGGUCAUCACACUCGGCGCGUAACUGAGAGGUCCGGGGUUCGAUUCCUGGCGAAGGUG
This 73-nucleotide transfer RNA is filed under the name Stegodyphus mimosarum. It matches the Rfam family "tRNA". Rfam says of the family: Transfer RNA (tRNA) molecules are approximately 80 nucleotides in length. Their secondary structure includes four short double-helical elements and three loops (D, anti-codon, and T loops). Lineage: Eukaryota; Metazoa; Arthropoda; Arachnida; Araneae; Eresidae. The record is from Rfam by way of RNAcentral.